GGAGGGUGGCUUUGUUUGAAUGGUCGCUUUAGGGGCGGGUUGUUAGACUUGUGGGUCUUCA
RNAcentral lists this transfer RNA (61 nucleotides) under Metagonimus yokogawai. Its description in RNAcentral is "tRNA-Leu". The record is from RNAcentral. Lineage: Eukaryota; Metazoa; Platyhelminthes; Trematoda; Opisthorchiida; Heterophyidae.